This 439-nucleotide ribosomal RNA is filed under the name uncultured bacterium. Its description in RNAcentral is "partial 16S ribosomal RNA". It matches the Rfam family "Bacterial small subunit ribosomal RNA", at positions 339 to 795 of the family's 1533-position model. The record is from RNAcentral.
CUACGGGUCGCUGCAGUGAGGAAUAUUGCACAAUGGGGGGAACCCUGAUGCAGCAACGCCGCGUGGAGGAUGACGCAUUUCUGUUUUUAAACUCCUUUUAUAUGUCAAGAAAAUGACGGUAGCAUAUGAAUAAGCACCGGCUAACUCCGUGCCAGCAGCCGCGGUAAUACGGAGGGUGCAAGCGUUACUCGGAAUCACUGGGCGUAAAGGACGCGUAGGCGGGUUGGAAAGUCAGGUGUGAAAUCCUACAGCUUAACUGUAGAACUGCACUUGAAACUUCUAAUCUAGAGUAUGGGAGGGGGAGAUGGAAUUAGUGGUGUAGGGGUAAAAUCCGUAGAUAUCACUAGGAAUACCUAAAGCGAAGGCGAUCUCCUGGAACAUUACUGACGCUAAGGCGUGAAAGCGUGGGGAGCAAACAGGAUUAGAUACCCGGGUAGUC